GACGAACGCUGGCGGCGUGCUUAACACAUGCAAGUCGAGCGGUAAGGCCCUUUCGGGGGUACGACGAGCGGCGAACGGGUGAGUAACACGUGGGUGACCUGCCCUCAGCUCUGGGAGUAAGCCUGGGAAACCGGGUACUAAUACCGGAUAUGACCCCAUGACGCAUGUUGUGGGGUGGAAAGCCUUGUGCGGCUGAGGAUGGGCCCGGCGGCCUAUCAGCUUGUUGGUGGGGUGAUGGCCACCAAGGCGACGACGGGUAGCCGGCCUGAGAGGGCGACCGGCCACACUGGGAC
This 293-nucleotide ribosomal RNA is filed under the name uncultured bacterium. RNAcentral's name for it is "partial 16S ribosomal RNA". It matches the Rfam family "Bacterial small subunit ribosomal RNA", at positions 28 to 319 of the family's 1533-position model. The record is from RNAcentral.